UACGGAGGGUGCAAGCGUUAUCCGGAUUCACUGGGUUUAAAGGGUGCGUAGGCGGGUAAGUAAGUCCGUGGUGAAAUCUCUGAGCUUAACUCAGAAACUGCCGUGGAUACUAUUUGCCUUGAAUAUUGUGGAGGUGAGCGGAAUAUGCCAUGUAGCGGUGAAAUGCUUAGAUAUGACAUAGAACACCAAUUGCGAAGGCAGCUCACUACACAAUCAUUGACGCUGAGGCACGAAAGCGUGGGGAUCAAACAGG
Molecule: ribosomal RNA, 253 nt
Filed under: uncultured bacterium
Lineage: Bacteria
Description: partial 16S ribosomal RNA
Rfam family: Bacterial small subunit ribosomal RNA
Source: RNAcentral